GUAUAUCGAAAAGAAAAAAAAGGUUUAUACAUGCCGCUUCUUUGGUGAGAAACAAAUCUCCAAGUUGCAAUUUCUUUUGCUACGAAGCCUGCUAAUGCAUACAGUACCUGGAACUUUUUCUACAUAAUUUCUUGACUUGGUACCAGUACUGGAAAACAUUGUCAAGAUUCUGGUCUCAUUUAUACGUAGACUUCUUAGGGCGUUAUUAUUCUUGAGUGCUUCUGAAAAUUUAAUCGACUAUAGAGGAGUUACAAAGAGCUAGAUUGCUUGAAUUUUGCAUCACAAAAUUUGGGACCGCCAAGUCUCAUGCUGCUUAAGAAACUGAGCUUAACAUGUCAAGUUCAUACUAUGUAUUUUCUUUUUCAUAAUUAGUUUAUUUUGUAAUACAUGAGGGGUAGUAUUAUUUGCAUCUUUAUUCUAAGACUAUCACUUUCUCAGGCCGCUAUCUACAUGGGAUAAGAUUUCUGUCUUGCUAAAUGAUCUAAUAUGCAUCUAAUAAAAGAAAUAGUAGUGGUACUUUUGUCAUUUUGAGUUUUUCUCAAAGGAGGACAUGAUUUGCUUUUAGGUGAUAUCUUUAAAAUUGAAUGACACCAAUGAGAUUGGAUAUCUGAUUUUGGAUCUCUGAAUCGUGUACAACAAUCAUACAAUAUAUAAAAACAUCAUGAAGAACAAACUGAAUUGUGGUUUGAAGGAGUAGAAGUGUCUUGCCAACAAUCAUACUUUUACUAAUGCCAUUUAACAAAUAUCACCAAAGCAGUCAUGUUCAAAUGUUUGGUGUCAGUCUAUUUAAGUUCACAUUUAAUCGGGCUCAGAUUUUUGUAGGCUUUUUGAGAUAUCUAACGCAAUCCUCCCCGCACGUUUCCUUUUCGAGUUUUAGCAUGGUUCAUUUAUCGAUCAGUACUUUAUGUCAAUAUGAUCAGGUGUAUUGCAAGUACUGAUUGGGCAAAAAGGUAUAAAAUGAGGAGGCAAGAGGGGAAACCAUGAAAGUAACUCUUUUUCACUUAAAAAAAGGACACUUGGAUAAGUCUAGCUGUCAACAACUGUUGACUGAUAUGCUAGAAUGGUAAUUUUGGUGGUUGUCCAAUAGAUUUUGGUUAAUUCCAAGGUUUCAAUUACCUGUUAAUCCAGUAUGAUACUGAGAUACUGUAUACUGGCCCAUGCCACCUGAUCUCGCUAGAUAAAAUAAUAUAAAAAAUAAAAAUAAAUGAUAUACUGAGCAGUAUCAAGUGCUGAGGUUCAUAAUUGGUGCUUGGUGAGACUGUUCAUAGCCGGGCAUCCCGAUAGGAUCCAAAAUUGGUCGACCCAAUAUUUGCUGAUAUGGUUAUUACUGAUCCUAGUUUGGCCAGAGCCAAGGAAAAUCUUGGAGUUUUAACUAAUUCCAGGGUUUAAACUUAUCUCACCUGAAAUUAGGCGAUCUACAUGCAACUGAUCUUUGCUUGGACCAGUAUGUAUCAUGUAAUGUGGGUGAAAUAUCAGUAGACAGCAUUUUUUGCCUUCUCUUUUGUCUGGGCUUGGGUAAGACAACAAAAAGAAUGUAAACCAAGAAGAUUUGUCUCUGUGGCAUACCAUUAAAUCAUUUUGACAUUGAUUCUGUUACAACUUAUUAUGACCAAUUGGAAAAAGUGUUGCAUGUUUGAUGAGUACAGAUAGACAGGAGAGACUCUGGGCUCAACAGUCAUUCAUAAUUAAUAACAGCGGAAGAGAGUUGUAUUCUGCUUGUUCUUUAAAAUACAGAUUGCUCAAUCAUUAUGUAACAAAGCGAACUAGGUCCACAGGAGGAUAAAUCUAAGGGCUAGUGUUUUGCUGCUGAAAGAAAUGCUGUAACUGAAACUACAUAAUAGCGAUCAACUUGAAUUUGCCCAUUUUAGGAUGCAAUGUAAAAUGAUGGGUGCAUAAAGCUACUAAAUUUCACCAAAGAUAUAUAAUGGGUAACUAAAUUUGUUAUUUUUGGGUUGAUAAAGGAUGUUUUAUCAAUGAGCUGCAAAUAUGUCAGAAAAAGAAGGUGAAAGAGUUCAUGGUUGAUUUUCAAAGAAAAUUUAAAAAAUUCAUUAAUUUUUUAAUACUAUAAUGAUCAUGCAUGGAAGUCAUGUCAUGCAAUGUCCUUCCUAUCUUUCGGUUUCAGAUAAUGUUUAACUAUUAACCUAACAUUAUAAAAGUAGUGGUUCUGUGUCUGUUUUUCUGAAAAGAAAUUAUUUCGCAUGAGCUCUAGUAGAUGCUUGGAUGUGCUGCUUCAGAUAUAUCAACAAACAAUAUAUUCACAAAAGGAUAUAUAUUUCUUGGUCUUGAAGCAUGAGUGUCAUUCUGUCAUAUAAAAAUUCAUAAAAAUGACAUGUGGACUUAUGCAUGUGAUUGUAAUUUUUUUUAAUUUGUUUGUUCUUUGGGUUUUCAAUGGAAGAAUUGAUCUUCAAUAUCACUUAAUCGUCUGUGGAAGCUAUGUAUGGCUUUAAGAAAUUUUUACAACAGUUUCAUGUUCAUGCAUGAUGCCGAAUAACAUUAUGUUUUGUUAAGAUCAGUUGAUUAUGAAUAGUCUUUAACGCCCUAAGUUCAAGUUGUUGAAUGUCAAGACACUGCAAGCAACCUAAAAUUGAAGUAUCCAGUAAGGUUGCUACAAAGUGGAGAGCAUGAAUACCCUGAACUUGAACUUAUCUUGGUGGAGAUGUGAAGGAUGAUAGGCGCAAGUUAACAAACCUUAUCGGGCUGAUCGCUUGAGUUCAUCUGAUGUCACUUCACAUGAUCAGUGAAGUUAUUACAUACAUGAGAGAUCUGAUCUACAUCUUCAGUCCACUUAACUCGACAUUAAAGCUAUGACAUGCUCAUCUUUGUCAUCUGCAUAAUCGUCAUCGUCAUGAUCUGAUCUCAUUCUGUGGUUUAUUACUUUGGGGCAGUAAUCCUCUUUAAGCAGGUUCUUGCUAUCAAUUGUUAAAUGGCAGCAAACUUUUAUCAAGUCAGCACAGGAGUGAAGAUGCCUGAAAAGAAAGGCUGCCAAAUAGUAUGGCCUUAUUGCGGGUCUAAUUUUGUUAAUUAUUUAAUCUCGUUACAAGGAAGCAUAUUUCUAUUCUUGAAAGGAGUCUUAAAAAUUAUACAAGACGAUACUGUAUGAUACAAGGAAAUCUUCACCAACUUUGUAUUGUAUUUCUGAUUGAUUUUAUAGAGAUGUAGCAAUUAUGACCACUAAACUAGCUUGUUACAGAAGGAAUUGUUUUGAUGGUUGCGUGCAUACAUAGUUUCAACUAUUAGGAUGCUACAAGUAUUGACUGAGGAAACAUGAAUUCUGUUGUAGAAAAUGAAAACAUUCUUAGAUGUGUUCUAAAAGAAAUAGCAAACGAAAACAGGAGAACAUUUGAUUUGAUUCACUAAGGAAAUUAUUUCGGGCUUUUCUGUACUCUGCACUAUCAUUAUAAAUUGUAUCUUGGAUCCUCCAUCAUGUCCCACCGGCUUGUGUCUCUUUUAUGAUAACCAAAUGGCGGUUUGCAAUUGCAUCUUUGCAAUCUCGUGACCUGUUGUGGGUGAAAUUAUGUUUAUUUUGGAUGCUAUUGUUUCUUCUUUCUUUUGGACAUCUACUUGCAUUUCCAAGUUGCUUCGUUCUCGUCAUUCUUGUUAGUCGUGUUUCUUAACACCGGAACAAAAUGCUUUCUGAUGUGUUAUUCUCUUUUUCAGUUUUCUUAAGCCGAAGCUCAAUGCUUACAACUCUGUAGCUGAAGGAAAAAUACCUUCCUAACGGCAACUAAUGGGGAAAGAGGAUGACGGAUUUAAUUUAUGUGAUGUUCUCGUCGUUCAUCCUGGAUGACGGCAGUUGUUUAAGUCUUAGACAUCUGUAUAGUAAAUCCCAUUGGGAGGUUUAGUUUGAUGCCAUUUGUUUCUACAAUAAAUUGUUGGUUUCUUUGUUCCUGUUUGGAAUCAUUUAAGUGAGAAAUAGUGCUUCAUUUAUUGUACCAAGUAACUAAGCUUCAGUUUCUUUGGAUCAAGAAACUGGACCAGAUUAGAUAUGACCAUUUAUCAUAUUAGUUGUACAUCUCUUUGUUCAGAUUUAUUCAAAUUGCUCGAGAGAUGUGGAUGCUGUUUAUUUUUCCAAGUUGUUUUUCGACGAAGCAGAGGUUGAAUGUGCAAGUGGGGAUUCCACCACUUGGAGACGACAACCAACGGCACAAAUCAGCUUCUCC
This 4160-nucleotide long non-coding RNA is filed under the name Musa acuminata (dwarf banana). RNAcentral's name for it is "long non-coding RNA (MACU_LNC003674)". Lineage: Eukaryota; Viridiplantae; Streptophyta; Magnoliopsida; Zingiberales; Musaceae. The record is from RNAcentral.